This is a long non-coding RNA of Canis lupus familiaris (dog), 488 nucleotides long. RefSeq lists it as uncharacterized. Lineage: Eukaryota; Metazoa; Chordata; Mammalia; Carnivora; Canidae. The transcript has 2 exons. The record is from RefSeq and is a predicted model, not a curated record.
CUUGAGACAAGCUGCUUUGCUUCUCUGGGCCUCAGGCUGCUCAUGCACGCUUGUGCACGAAAUGGAGAUUUAGCACACACACACACACACACACACCCGCCACGGGGCAAGGAUGACAUCAGGUGAGCUAAGAUAGCAAAGUGCUCAGAGGCGGUUCUUGAAUAAUGAUGAAGAUUUGCACCUGUCGGGACACUUUUGGUUACUGAAACCAGAAAUGCAUCUAAUGGCCCCAGGACUUGUUAGAAAUGCAGGAUCUCGGGGGCUCAGCCCAGACCCACCAAACCUCUGGUGGUAGGGCAGCACCCUGUGCAUUAACAAGCCUCCUGGAAGAUUCUGGCGCUAAGGACAUGCAAAUAUCUCAGCAGAGACCUGCCUUUCCCCCACUGCCCUGCCCAGAGGGCCCUGAGGACCCAAGGAACAGGGGCACCGAGACAUAAAAUCCUGGAUCCUCAAACCAUGGCACCUUUAUUUGAAAAAAAAAAAAAGAA